This 226-nucleotide long non-coding RNA is filed under the name Capsicum annuum. RNAcentral's name for it is "long non-coding RNA (CANN_LNC002489)". Lineage: Eukaryota; Viridiplantae; Streptophyta; Magnoliopsida; Solanales; Solanaceae. The record is from RNAcentral.
AAGUACCUCUCCUUAUUCAAGUUACUUUUCUAUUUUUAUUGACCUCAUGUUGUAAUGGAGGUCUCCAUUCAUUAUACAUCUUCACUAUUAUAUUCCUUUUUCAUACCUACUUCAAAAUAUUUUACUUGAGUUGAGGGUCUAUAGAAAACACUACCAUUUUCUGACCUCACUUAUAGAAUUACACUAGAUAUAUUGUUGGAAUUGAGGUGCAAGCAUUCAAGACCAG